RNAcentral lists this non-coding RNA (192 nucleotides) under uncultured Agathobaculum sp. Lineage: Bacteria; Bacillati; Bacillota; Clostridia; Eubacteriales; Butyricicoccaceae. The record is from RNAcentral.
CAUCGUGAGGUGGAAUCUGAAGGAAGCCGGAUGUGGAGGCUGCGAAGUGCCGACACAGGCAACUCUCGGUCUGACGAACAGAAAUCGCAUAUGAGGCAAUGCAAAGCGGACGAGUCUGCCUAACAAGACAAAGUCCAAUACUGCCCGAACUUUGCACUGUAAAUGCGGCAGAUAUAUGGGAGGAAGGUUAUU